UACGUAGGGUGCAAGCGUUGUCCGGAAUUAUUGGGCGUAAAGAGCUCGUAGGCGGCUGCUCAAGUCGAAUGUGAAAACUCGAGGCUCAACCUCGAGCCUGCAUUCGAUACUGGGCGGCUAGAGUCUGGUAGGGGGAUCUGGAAUUCCUGGUGUAGCGGUGGAAUGCGCAGAUAUCAGGAGGAACACCGGUGGCGAAGGCGGGAUCCUGGGCCAGUACUGACGCUGAGGAGCGAAAGCGUGGGGAGCAAACAGG
This 253-nucleotide ribosomal RNA is filed under the name uncultured bacterium. RNAcentral describes it as "partial 16S ribosomal RNA". It matches the Rfam family "Bacterial small subunit ribosomal RNA", at positions 524 to 776 of the family's 1533-position model. The record is from RNAcentral.